CCUACGGGAGGCAGCAGUGGGGAAUUUUGGACAAUGGGGGCAACCCUGAUCCAGCAAUGCCGCGUGUGUGAAGAAGGCCUUCGGGUUGUAAAGCACUUUUGUCCGGAAAGAAAUCGCACUUACUAAUAUUAGGUGUGGAUGACGGUACCGGAAGAAUAAGGACCGGCUAACUACGUGCCAGCAGCCGCGGUAAUACGUAGGGUCCAAGCGUUAAUCGGAAUUACUGGGCGUAAAGCGUGCGCAGGCGGUUGUGCAAGACCGAUGUGAAAUCCCCGGGCUUAACCUGGGAAUUGCAUUGGUGACUGCACGGCUAGAGUGUGUCAGAGGGGGGUAGAAUUCCACGUGUAGCAGUGAAAUGCGUAGAGAUGUGGAGGAAUACCGAUGGCGAAGGCAGCCCCCUGGGAUAACACUGACGCUCAUGCACGAAAGCGUGGGGAGCAAACAGGAUUAGAUACCCUGGUAGUCCACGCCCUAAACGAUGUCAACUAGUUGUUGGGGAUUCAUUUCCUUAGUAACGUAGCUAACGCGUGAAGUUGACCGCCUGGGGAGUACGGUCGCAAGAUUAAAACUCAAAGGAAUUGACGG
This 585-nucleotide ribosomal RNA is filed under the name uncultured bacterium. RNAcentral describes it as "bacterial SSU rRNA". It matches the Rfam family "Bacterial small subunit ribosomal RNA", at positions 338 to 916 of the family's 1533-position model. The record is from RNAcentral.